UGCGGCGACAAUAGCGCGGCGGUCCCACCUGACCCCAUGCCGAACUCAGAAGUGAAACGUCGUAGCGCCGAUGGUAGUGUGGGGUCUCCCCAUGUGAGUAGGGAAUCGCCGGGC
Molecule: ribosomal RNA, 114 nt
Filed under: Klebsiella pneumoniae
Lineage: Bacteria; Pseudomonadati; Pseudomonadota; Gammaproteobacteria; Enterobacterales; Enterobacteriaceae
Source: RNAcentral